GAAGGGGGCUAGCGUUGUUCGGAUUUACUGGGCGUAAAGCGCACGUAGGCGGAUGGGUAAGUCAGGGGUGAGAUCCCAGAGCUCAACUCUGGAACUGCCUUUGAUACUGGCCAUCUUGAGUCCGGAAGAGGUGAGUGGAACUCCUAGUGUAGAGGUGGAAUUCGUAGAUAUUAGGAAGAACACCAGUGGCGAAGGCGGCUCACUGGUCCGGAACUGACGCUGAGGUGCGAAAGCGUGGGGAGCAAACAGG
Molecule: ribosomal RNA, 250 nt
Filed under: uncultured bacterium
Lineage: Bacteria
Description: partial 16S ribosomal RNA
Rfam family: Bacterial small subunit ribosomal RNA
Source: RNAcentral